RNAcentral lists this ribosomal RNA (995 nucleotides) under Rhizopus delemar. RNAcentral's name for it is "LSU rRNA". It matches the Rfam family "Eukaryotic large subunit ribosomal RNA", at positions 38 to 964 of the family's 3401-position model. The record is from RNAcentral. Lineage: Eukaryota; Fungi; Mucoromycota; Mucoromycetes; Mucorales; Rhizopodaceae.
GCAUAUCAAUAAGCGGAGGAAAAGAAAAUAACAAUGAUUUCCCUAGUAACGGCGAGUGAARRGAAAGAGCUCAAAGUUGGAACCUGUUUGGCCUAGCUAAACCGGAUUGUAGACUGUAGAAGUGUUUUCCAGGCAAGCCGAGUAAAUAAGUCCUUUGGAACAGGGCAUCAUAGAGGGUGAGAAUCCCGUCUUUGGCUUGAGCAUUUGCCUUUUGUGAUACGCUUUCAAAGAGUCAGGUUGUUUGGGAAUGCAGCCUAAAUUGGGUGGUAAAUCUCACCUAAAGCUAAAUAUUGGCGAGAAACCGAUAGCGAACAAGUACCGUGAGGGAAAGAUGAAAAGAACUUUGAAAAGAGAGUUAAACAGUAUGUGAAAUUGUUAAAAGGGAACCGUUUGGAGCCAGACUGGCUUGUCUGUAAUCAAUCUAGGCUUCGGCCUGGAUGCACUUGCAGGCUAUGCCUGCCAACGACAAUUUGACUUGAGGGAAAAAACUAAGGGAAAUGUGGCCCACUUGUGGGUGUUAUAGUCCCUUAGAAAAUACCUUGGGUUGGAUUGAGGAACGCAGCGAAUGCUUUUUGGCGAGUUUUCCAGGAAGGUUUUCUGAGGUACUACGGUAUCAAGGUUGAUCUUUUUGGUUAUACUUCUAUUCGCUUAGGUUGUUGGCUUAAUGACUCUAAAUGACCCGUCUUGAAACACGGACCAAGGAGUCCACCAUUAGUGCGAGUAUUUGGGUGCCAAACCCAUAUGCGUAAGGAAACUGAUUGAUACGAAUCCAUUAAGGAGGCAGUAUCGUCCGGCGCUGACGUUUUAUACUGAAUUGACCGAGACAAAGCACUAAUGAUGGGACCCGAAAGAUGGUGAACUAUGCCUGAAUAGGGUGAAKCCAGAGGAAACUCUGGUGGAGGCUCGUAGCGAUUUCUGAMGUGCAAAUCGAUCGUCAAAUUUGGGUAUAGGGGGCGAAAGACUAAUCGAACCAUCUAGUAGCUGGUUCCUGCCGA